CACGCCACGUCACCCGUCUCCAGCACACACAAAUAGAUACAAUUAAUCUAGGUCGUUAGUUUCUUAGAUCAACGACCCACAAUUUUUUCUUUUAAGUCGAAGCACCCUGUAGAUUUAAUCAUAGCCGUUGUUCACAAGAAUCCAACGGCUGCCAAAAUUCUCUAUAAAAACCAUUUAAGCCCCAAAUUGUCAGGAGAAUUGAUCAAAAACUGUCCAAAUCCCUUCACCUAAGCUUAACCUAAAGACGGCCUCCAAAUUCCAAAAGCCACUAACACUCCCUCUCAGCCGACCGUCCUAAUUUCCCAAAAUUCUCUCUACUUUCCUUAUGCCCAACUCGUUAAUCACCAAAAUAUUGUACAAAUUUGUGCAAGGUCGUCUCAAUCGAAGCCUGAAACACUCACCUUGUCUCUAUUCUACGAAUCCCGAUUGUUUAUUUCCCCUUUCAUUGAUAGAAUUCGAAAUCCCAAAAUCUGAACCUAAGACCAAACGAAUGAAAAUGAAACUUUAAAUCUCUCGAUUUCUCUUAUGCUCUAUCAAAUCGGAGCAUGCAUGUGGAUUUAUCAAAGUUUCAUCAUGUUAUUCGAUGUCCAUAGGUCAAACUUUGUUACCUCUGGAUAUUGGAGUCUUAGCCAAUGUAUUUUCUCAUCAAUGAUCAUUUCUGAUCCUCACAAGCCUAGGUAAAACUCCUUCAUCGAUUCUCCCUCAUUUCUUUCUCAUUUCACCCGAUUAUGCUUACAUCAUCAACUCAUUAUCAUCUUUCACUCACAAUUUGAAUCUAUUGAAACCCUUAGGCAUUGAAUGCCCCUAUAAAUAGGGUCUUCAAUGCCCACACCUAACAAUCACAAAAAUGCCUAAAAACAGAAGAAAUCAAUACGCAAUAAAAGCUAUGUUUAGAACUCUUUUGACUAAGGCUAAGUUCUUACUCAAUUUUUGAUUUUUCUUUGGUUCUUAGUUAAUCAUUGAUUGAAGUUUUGAGUUCUUUAGCACACAUGAAUCAAUCAAUGCCAAUGCAAAUAGGUAGUUCCCCCCCGACAAAGUAAGGCAGGAUACUCAUCUUGACUAGGCCAACCCAACCCUCGAAAUCGCUUUUCCCUUAAAACAUGCCUCCACAUGGCUCAAAUCUACCCAAAAUAGACUUUGUAUCAUAAACCAAUUCACGAGAAAAUAAUUACAAUAAAUAAAGCUUUGAUCUUUAUACUUUUUCCAAGAAGUCAAUAAAAGUCAACCCGGUGCUCGUCCGAUCAAAACCUGAGUCCAAUGGUAGAUUCAAACUACUCAUGACCCCAUAAAUUCAUAUAUGUAAUUAGUUUCAAAAUCCGAGUACAAAUUGAAUCUCAAAAGUUAAGUUCUUACUUUUCAAAAUUUUGACAAGGUUUCACAAAUUUUCACUUGAUUCACAUAAUUUUGAUGUUAAAAUCUAAGAUAUAUUGAUGGAAUAUGAUUAGAAAUAGAUUAGAAUCAAUUACUCAAAGUUUGUAGGUGAAAAUCCCUCUCUAAAUCACCUAUAACCAAGUCUAGAGUUCUAAAAUGAUAGAAUAUGAUAUGGAAUCCCGACUUUCAACUCUUUUGAUCAGUCGCAAAUGUCGCAAUUGUGAAAUAAUUCAAAAUGUGGCACCGUCAGUCCUAUGAGGAGGUCGCAAAAUGUGACUGUUUUGUCGCAAAUGCAAGCAACCCUCUACCUUAAGCUACUUUGCAAUUUGUGAGCCAGGUAUCACAAUUGCGAUACUUGAGGCUCCCCACUAAGCUUGCAAUUGCGAACCUGGUAUUCGCAAAUGUGAUACUAGAGGCUGCUGCACACCAGAUUUCUGGUUUUCAAUCCAAAACACUCUGUUGUAUGUCCAAAGCUCACCCGAGCCUUUGAGGUUCCAAACCAAACAUCCACACAAGUCUAAAGACAUCAUACGAACUCGCUUGCACGAUCAAACAUAUAAAAAUAAUAUCUAAAACUAGAAAAGGGCCAAGAAUGUCCUUGAACUAUUAGAAAUAGAUCAAUAAUACCCUCCGUUUACCUUUUGGCCCAAAAAAACCCUUACCGUCAGUCAAUUGGAGCAAAAAUGUCCUUCAUAACUAACGAAGCACCACUUCAGACAGCCUAGAAAACCAGAACCUUCCAAUCACCCGAUUCUUCCUUGAACAACUCUAACACCACAUAAAUUUAUGCUCCGAGUGUGUCGAAAGUAUUGGUUUCGAUUGAAUUCGGUAGUUCUAUGGUGCAUCUGCCCCUAACAUCAGCCCUCUACCAUUGCUUCACUUGCACAUUGGAUCAUCAACCACUUCCAGCUUUAAAUCAAUAGAAAAAAAGAAGAAGACCCCUACUGCAAAAGAUGCCCAAACUGAAAUCAUCAACAAAAAUCUCUCCACUUCCAUCCUUUUCUGGUGACAACUUCCGAUGGGGGGUGAGAAAGAGAAAUGCUCCCGGGCAACAAUGGUAUCUCUGCUCCCUUCAAAAUUAUUUUAGUUAAUGUAGAUGGUGAGAGUAGGUCUCACAAAUGAUGGAGAAGCGAAAUUUUUGGGAGUAGUCUUGGUCCUCGAAAGAAAUAGAAGGUAGCCGGUUCUUUUCCUUUUUAUGGUGAUUGGUGAAGGUGAAGGCAUGGUGGAUUUUUUGAUGGUUUUGCUGUAGGUUUAGAUAUGAAUAUAAUAUUUGAACAAGAAACUAAAAAGAAUCUAUAGCAAUUUAUUUAGUGGACCUUCAAAGCUUUUAGUAGCUUCAAUGGUAGUCACUAGCAAUGGUUUAAUUUUUGGAAAAUGAUGUGCAUGAUAAAAGAAUGAAGAGUCCGUCCACGCUGGAGUUCCAUAUCACACAUAUUAUAACAUUUUUAAUUUUGGUUCAUCUGAUGGUGGUGCUUCGUUUAUUGGAAAUGAUUUUUUUGCUCCAAUUGAUUAAAGGGCUUUUUUGGGCCAAAAGAUAAAUGGUGUGCAUUAUUGAUCUA
Molecule: long non-coding RNA, 2930 nt
Filed under: Nicotiana benthamiana
Lineage: Eukaryota; Viridiplantae; Streptophyta; Magnoliopsida; Solanales; Solanaceae
Description: long non-coding RNA (NBEN_LNC037243)
Source: RNAcentral